Molecule: ribosomal RNA, 429 nt
Filed under: uncultured Desulfobacterium sp.
Lineage: Bacteria; Pseudomonadati; Thermodesulfobacteriota; Desulfobacteria; Desulfobacterales; Desulfobacteriaceae
Description: bacterial SSU rRNA
Rfam family: Bacterial small subunit ribosomal RNA
Source: RNAcentral
UUCGACGCAACGCGAAGAACCUUACCUGGGCUUGACAUCUGCGGAAUUUCUCGAAAGUGGAAGUGCCUUCGGGAGCCGCAAGACAGGUGCUGCAUGGCUGUCGUCAGCUCGUGUCGUGAGAUGUUGGGUUAAGUCCCGCAACGAGCGCAACCCUUAUCUUUAGUUACCAUCAUUCAGUUGGGGACUCUAAAGACACUGCCCCGGUCAACGGGAGGAAGGUGGGGAUGACGUCAAGUCCUCAUGGCCCUUAUGUCCAGGGCUACACACGUGCUACAAUGGGCGAUACAGAGGGAAGCAAGGCCGCAAGGUAGAGCUAAUCCCUAAAGUCGUCCUCAGUUCGGAUUGGAGUCUGCAACUCGACUCCAUGAAGUUGGAAUCGCUAGUAAUCGCGGAUCAGCACGCCCGCGGUCGAAUACGUUCCCGGGCCUU